This is a long non-coding RNA of Serinus canaria (Common canary), 1601 nucleotides long. The record is from Ensembl. NCBI's taxonomy places the organism in Eukaryota, Metazoa, Chordata, Aves, Passeriformes, Fringillidae.
GGCACUGAAGGCAGAAGUAGGGGGCUGAGCCUUAAAGAGACCUGAAGUUCGGGCUGCAGCUGACAGUGAAGAGGUGUGUGAUGUGGGCAGUUGUCUGGUUUGCUCCACCAUGCCUGAGUCUCUAGCAAAUAAUGGUAAGUCUUUAACAUUUAAUUUAAUUUAUAAAAGACAAGUUGGGGAAAGGGGGUGAAAUACUUUCCUGCAAGGGAGUAGCUUCCGGUUUAUCCCUACAGACCAUACUGAUAAGUGUUAGCCUAGGUAUUAUAGAAGUGAGAGUAGAGGGAUUUUCCUCCUGCAGAAGCAUUGCUUUGAGGUCCUUUAGGCCUCCUGUUCCAUCAUGUCCUAAGUGAAUAGCAACCAGCAGGCUAGGAAGCUGCAAGCUGCCCCUGUGUGAGCAGAGCUGGAACAGCAGGGUGGCUUACAGCUCUGUCCUCUUUGCUUCCCUGCUGCGUUGUGUUCAGAGGGCUCAUUUUAAGGGCACUGUGCAUGGAUACCCCUGGGUGAUGGGCAGCCCCAAGCAGCUGCCCCAGUAAGGAGCAGGAAGCACUGGCUGAAGCUGUCCCUGUGGGAGGUGCUGCUGGCAAGGCUCCUGAGCCUUGAUGGCCAGCUUAAGGGAGUGCAAAGGGUUGCCAGUGUGGGCAUGGCUCUGCCUCUUCCUCUGCUAUCAGCUCAUGGUGCCUGUGGCACUGCCAGGGACAUGGGAGUGUGGCACAGCUGCUGUGAGUGUGCAGCCACAAUUCCUAGGGACUUGCUGGUGUAAGUGAUGACUGAAUUUUUUCCCCAUCAGAGCGACAGUGUUGAUUACUUGCUGUUCAAGCCAGAUCGUGUCUGAUGCACCAGCAGGGAAAUGCUGCUGUGUCCCACACCCUGACAGGGUCUGGUGCUGACAGUUCCCUUUGGCUUUACCUCCAGGGCACUGAAGGUGGAAGUGGGUUGAGCCUUUGGGAGACCUGAAGUUAAAGCUGCAGCUCACAAUGCAGAGGUGUGGAUGAGGACAUUGUCUGGUUUGCUCCAACAUGUGUGCCCCUUUGUCGGGGGAGAAUGGUUGAGAUUUAUAAAGAUUUGUCCUGGGCCCUGCUGGAGUUGGAGUGUUCUGCUUAAGAAGAUGGAUGGUUCUGCUGCUCCCAUGCUGCUGCCUGGCAUCCUCAUUCAAGCCACAGCAUUCCCAUACCCUGCAAUAGCUCUGACCUCGAAGCUGUCAGGAGUGAUGGAUUUGUGUAUUGCCAGCUUAGGUGGAGGGUGUAACAUUUUCUGUUCCCUGAGUACAAGGCAUGUAACUGGAAUGGGUUCUGGAAGUUUCUGCAUGUUUAAUGCAGUUAGAUGCUUUUGUCUGCAGGGGCUGCAUUCCCUGCCUGGCAGCUCAUGUUGUCCUGCCACAGUCAUGCAAGGCAAGGAAGCCUUUCCUGGGAGCAGCUGUCCGGUAUUGGGAGGAUGGCCUUGUGUGAAAGGGAGUCAGGACUUGCUUCUCCCCUGCCAUCCAGAAAGCUGCAGGGGUGUGAAGUGGGCAAGAGGUGUCUGGGAUGCUGCAGCACAGUGUGUUUCUGUACUGUUGAAAGCCUAGUUUUAAUAAAAUCUUAAAUAAUGGGUUGAUUUGGCUGGUA